Molecule: long non-coding RNA, 266 nt
Organism: Zophobas morio
Lineage: Eukaryota; Metazoa; Arthropoda; Insecta; Coleoptera; Tenebrionidae
Exons: 2
Source: RefSeq, a predicted model, not a curated record
CCAGAAACUCAACGAAACAUGGGGGCACAAUGAUUAUGAGGAACGCUGAGGUUUCUUGCACUCGUCUCCAAAAUCUCGAACAACUCUCAAUUGAGAAACAUGCGAUGUUCCACCCGAUUUCACCACUUCAGCACAAUUCCUUGGGAUACAUUUGGAUGCAAAACUAACCUGGAAAGUUCACGGCGACGAGCUGGCCAAUAGAAUUAGCAAAAACUUAUUUGUGUUAAGGAGUCUUAAAAAUAAAGUAUCAUAUCAAGUGCUCAGAA